GGUUAUGACACAUGGUCUGUAAAAUUUUUAUCUGUGAAUUUAGAUACCACGUAUGUGGUAUCGCCUUCAAAAUCAAUUAAGUUAUUCUAUCAUUUACUUUAAUACGAUUUCCUACGUUGAUUCUGAUAGAUUAAAAUAAUUAUCAAAUGUGGAAACAAAGAAAAUCUCUUAAAUCAUGUUGGUGCUUACCUAGAAAAGUGAUAAAUAUAUAUUCGGAAAAAGAAUCAUCUGCUGAAAAAAUAGUAAAAAAUAAAAAGAAGAAGAGAAUGAAGUCUUCGUUUUCUAAAUUUUUUAAACGAUAGAAGAAACGCAAUAAGAAUAUAAAAAAAGUAAUGAAACAUAUGAAACGAGUUCAACGAUUAUCUCAACCCAAAAUCAUUACGCAAUCAUCAAAACAAGAAUGGAAUUCGGUUACGUCUAGAAAAACGAAAAAACGGACUUCACCUCCGACAGUGUCGAAAAGAGUAAUGGAAUUAGCGCUACCAAAAAAUUUAACUACUUUGAACGAUUUUUCGAAAGAUGUACGAGAUCCUUUUAAAGUAAGACCAUCUGCUUUGAAGGCUAUUUGUUCCCUCCGAACUAAAUUACUCGCUAAACCAAAAUAUGUAGAGAAUUCUUUCGGUGAACCACGUAAUAGCGUUACUCCAUAAUUUCAUUGUAUCGUAAAUAACAUUUGUAGAUAUGAAUUUGUAAACUACUGUAAAAUUAUCAAAAAGAAAGUAAU
This is an RNA transcript of Vespula vulgaris, 724 nucleotides long. RefSeq lists it as uncharacterized. The transcript is spliced from 3 exons. The record is from RefSeq and is a predicted model, not a curated record. Lineage: Eukaryota; Metazoa; Arthropoda; Insecta; Hymenoptera; Vespidae.